Mytilus trossulus (common blue mussel) is the source of this 246-nucleotide long non-coding RNA. RefSeq lists it as uncharacterized. The transcript is spliced from 8 exons. NCBI's taxonomy places the organism in Eukaryota, Metazoa, Mollusca, Bivalvia, Mytilida, Mytilidae. The record is from RefSeq and is a predicted model, not a curated record.
AGGCAGGAAAGGAUUUGUUGGAUUGAAAGGCGGGAUGGGAGACAGAGGAAAUACUGGACCAAUUGGAUCAACAGGACAGAUGGGCAUGAAAGGAUCGAAAGGAAACAAAGGAAACCAAGGAAAUGCCGGACAGCAAGGAAACAGGGGAGACAGAGGACUUCAAGGACCACAUGGAAAAGACGGUGCAGAUGGAAAGGAUGGAUCGACAGGAGAUAAAGGCGACAGAGGAAAUACAGGUAAAGCGAA